Molecule: ribosomal RNA, 253 nt
Filed under: uncultured bacterium
Lineage: Bacteria
Description: partial 16S ribosomal RNA
Rfam family: Bacterial small subunit ribosomal RNA
Source: RNAcentral
UACGAAGGGGGCUAGCGUUGUUCGGAAUUACUGGGCGUAAAGGGCGCGUAGGCGGUGUGUCAAGUCAGGCGUGAAAGCCCCGGGCUCAACCUGGGAGCCGCGCUUGAGACUGGCACGCUCGAGUUCGGGAGAGGAUGGUGGAAUUCCCAGUGUAGAGGUGAAAUUCGUAGAUAUUGGGAAGAACACCGAUGGCGAAGGCAGCCAUCUGGACCGACACUGACGCUGAGGCGCGAAAGCGUGGGGAGCAAACAGG